This 443-nucleotide ribosomal RNA is filed under the name uncultured bacterium. RNAcentral's name for it is "partial 16S ribosomal RNA". It matches the Rfam family "Bacterial small subunit ribosomal RNA", at positions 338 to 795 of the family's 1533-position model. The record is from RNAcentral.
CCUACGGGAGGCAGCAGUGGGGAAUAUUGGACAAUGGGCGCAAGCCUGACCCAGCAACGCCGCGUGAAGGAAGAAGGCUUUCGGGUUGUAAACUUCUUUUGUCAGGGACGAAGUAAUUGACUUUACGUGACGAAUAAGCCACUGCUAACUACGUGCCAGCAGCCGCGGUAAUACGUAGGUGGCAAGCGUUAUGCGGAUUUACUGGGUGUAAAGGGCGUGGAGGCGGGACUGCAAGUCAGAUGUGAAAACCACGGGCUCAACCUGUGGACUGCAUUUGAAACUGUAGUUCUUGAGUCCUGGAGAGGCAGACGGAAUUCCUAGUGUAGCGGUGAAAUGCGUAGAUAUUAGGAGGAACACCAGUGGCGAAGGCGGUCUGCUGGACAGCAACUGACGCUGAGGCGCGAAAGCGUGGGGAGCAAACAGGAUUAGAUACCCCUGUAGUC